This is a long non-coding RNA of Corythoichthys intestinalis (scribbled pipefish), 630 nucleotides long. RefSeq lists it as uncharacterized. The transcript is spliced from 3 exons. NCBI's taxonomy places the organism in Eukaryota, Metazoa, Chordata, Actinopteri, Syngnathiformes, Syngnathidae. The record is from RefSeq and is a predicted model, not a curated record.
UUAUUUAUUACUACAUGGCCCUAAUAUUUCAAUAUAAAUUAAGGAAACAUGUCUUAUGGCAAUUCUUCGAACACUGUUCUCAAUGGUUAAGCCAAUAUUUUCCCAUUUUAAAUGUCGACGAUCAGCCCAUAAAAGUUGUUAUUGUUUUGAUUCUGUGUUUACAGUUGAUGUACCACCCUCCACCACCCAGCCAAUUACGAGAUAAAUUCCUCAUCUUCAUCCAGGUGUCCAGAGCUCUGUAGGCUUUCUACAGUGUAUCACAAAAACCCCUGUUUACAGACGUAGCGGAACCACUUUUGUUUCAACCCAGGCAUAAAAAGAAGAUGCCGUCUGGUCCUGGACCCCCUCGUGGACAUGGCACACAUAGUUUCCGCUGAGGGCCGGCGUGGCACGAGGAAAGAUGAGGCAGGAUCUCAUGCUCAUUGCUGACAGGACAUCUGUUAGGGGUUCCACAUCAGCAGCCUGGAAGAGACAUUUUAUUCGCGCUGUGGUUAAACAAUGGCACCCAGUGGGUUCAGUGAGUGUGGGGAAUAGUUCAGUGGUGUAAUAUUUUUAGGUCACAAUUGGUUAGAGGUAGCAAAAGUACUCAGACUCUGUAUCUGUACUUAGAGAGACAGACAACACCCAUCC